CUGAGGUUUGCCACCUGCAAAGCUGAAGUCUGUAACUAAUGAAAUAUCAGGCAACAUGCAUCCUCUAUCCCAUUGAUGGUGUCCUGCAGGGCACAAAUGGGAUGAGGCUUGCAAAAUGCUCAUCAAGAUUGGCACAUAUUAAACACUUGACAAAUCGCAGCACCCAUGCGUCUUCAAAGAGCUGGUCCAGAUGACGUCCUUUGAAAUAAGACAGAAUAAAUUUAGACUCCUUUCUGCAUAAGCAUUAUUGAGAUAUGGGAAAGCAGGUGUCAUGUCUUCCUUAGCUCAUUUUUAUAUUCCUUCAAAUCUCUCUCAUAAAAUAAAUUUUCUGGUGAUUUAUUUGGUCAACGUCUCAUAAGUACUUUCUACCCAAUAUGCUCAUGUCUACACUAUUCUAUGCAUCUUUCAAUUCGCUCUAAAAUGAUUUUAAUUCUAGGAUUAUUAAUGCACCCCAGUCAUAGAUACAAGCUGGUAAAAAUUUAAACCAAUUUGCUUAUGUUUAUCAGGAUUUAAACCUAAGCUCACUUCCUAAAUAAGCUAAAUCAACUGUUUCAAAUGUGAUUGGAAACUAUAAAAGUUAUACUGAAACCAUUUAAGUUACCUGUCUUUAUCAAGUAUGGUCCUGAUAGUAAAGUGUGAACCUGAAACAUUAUUAAAUGAAGGAUAGAGAACAGAGACCUUGGCUCUUCACUAAAAGCCUCUCGGAAGAUUGAUAUUGAUUCACUUCUAGACAAAAUCUUUAGAGAAUUUGGCUACCUUAAAACUACGAUCUGCAUUAAAAUAUGUAAUAUGUGUAUAAUUCUGUUCAUUCACCACUGGUGUCAAAGAGAAAUGAAUUUAUUCUGCAAUGACAUUUAAAAACAUAAUCUGGACUCCAAAGGUCAUGUUGUUCUAUCAUUUCCAUCAUAUUAUAAAUGUGGUGAAUAAAUUUGUGAUUAUCCAUUUAAAAAUUUUAUUUAUUUCAAAUUCUGACUCGGG
This 978-nucleotide long non-coding RNA is filed under the name Homo sapiens (human). RNAcentral's name for it is "HSALNT0122874". The record is from RNAcentral. Lineage: Eukaryota; Metazoa; Chordata; Mammalia; Primates; Hominidae.